UACCUUAUUGUUGCCUCUUGCGGAUCAACCCGCGCCCCGUAAACUUGGACGGCCCGCCAGAGGACCCAAACUCUAUUGUAUUUAAGUGUAUCUUCUGAGUAACACAAACAAAUAAAUCAAAACUUUCAACAACGGAUCUCUUGGUUCUGGCAUCGAUGAAGAACGCAACAAAAUGCGAUAAAUAAUGUGAAUUGCAAAAUUCAGUGAAUCAUCGAAUCUUUGAACGCACAUUGCGCCCGCCAGUAUUCUGGCGGGCAUGCCUGUUCAAACGUCAUUUCAACCCUCAAACCCCCGGGUUUGGUGUUGGGGAUCGGAUUGCUAGUCAGUCCGGCCCCGAAAUCUAGUGGCGGUCACGCUGCAGCUUCCAUUGCGUAGUAAAUAACACCUCGCAACUGGUACGCGGCGCGGCCAAACCGUUAAACCCCCAACUUCUGAAUGUUGACCUCGGAUCAGGUAGGAAUACCCGCUGAACUUAAACAUAUCAAUAAGCGGAGGAA
Molecule: ribosomal RNA, 497 nt
Filed under: fungal sp. SYB301
Lineage: Eukaryota; Fungi
Description: eukaryotic LSU rRNA
Rfam family: 5.8S ribosomal RNA (bases 121-274)
Source: RNAcentral